RNAcentral lists this ribosomal RNA (1050 nucleotides) under Latilactobacillus curvatus. Its description in RNAcentral is "bacterial SSU rRNA". It matches the Rfam family "Bacterial small subunit ribosomal RNA", at positions 68 to 1082 of the family's 1533-position model. Lineage: Bacteria; Bacillati; Bacillota; Bacilli; Lactobacillales; Lactobacillaceae. The record is from RNAcentral.
UGAAGAAGCUUGCUUCUGAUUGAUAACAUUUGAGUGAGUGGCGGACGGGUGAGUAACACGUGGGUAACCUGCCCUAAAGUGGGGGAUAACAUUUGGAAACAGAUGCUAAUACCGCAUAAAACCUAGCACCGCAUGGUGCAAGGUUGAAAGAUGGUUUCGGCUAUCACUUUAGGAUGGACCCGCGGUGCAUUAGUUAGUUGGUGAGGUAAAGGCUCACCAAGACCGUGAUGCAUAGCCGACCUGAGAGGGUAAUCGGCCACACUGGGACUGAGACACGGCCCAGACUCCUACGGGAGGCAGCAGUAGGGAAUCUUCCACAAUGGACGAAAGUCUGAUGGAGCAACGCCGCGUGAGUGAAGAAGGUUUUCGGAUCGUAAAACUCUGUUGUUGGAGAAGAACGUAUUUGAUAGUAACUGAUCAGGUAGUGACGGUAUCCAACCAGAAAGCCACGGCUAACUACGUGCCAGCAGCCGCGGUAAUACGUAGGUGGCAAGCGUUGUCCGGAUUUAUUGGGCGUAAAGCGAGCGCAGGCGGUUUCUUAAGUCUGAUGUGAAAGCCUUCGGCUCAACCGAAGAAGUGCAUCGGAAACUGGGAAACUUGAGUGCAGAAGAGGACAGUGGAACUCCAUGUGUAGCGGUGAAAUGCGUAGAUAUAUGGAAGAACACCAGUGGCGAAGGCGGCUGUCUGGUCUGUAACUGACGCUGAGGCUCGAAAGCAUGGGUAGCAAACAGGAUUAGAUACCCUGGUAGUCCAUGCCGUAAACGAUGAGUGCUAGGGGUUUUGGAAGGGUUUCCGCCCCUUCAGUGCCGCAGCUAACGCAUUAAGCACUCCGCCCGGGGGAGUACGACCGCAAAGGUUGAAACUCAAAGGGAAUUGACGGGGGCCCGCACAAGCGGUGGAGCAAGGGGGUUUAAUUCGAAGCAACGCGAAGAACCUUACCAGGUCUUGACAUCCUUUGACCCCUCUAGAAGAUAGAGCUUUCCCUUCGGGGACAAAGUGACAGGUGGUGGCAUGGGUUGUCCUCACCUCCUGUCCUGAAAAGUUUGGGGU